Long non-coding RNA from Cynoglossus semilaevis (tongue sole), 670 nucleotides. RefSeq lists it as uncharacterized. The record is from RefSeq and is a predicted model, not a curated record. NCBI's taxonomy places the organism in Eukaryota, Metazoa, Chordata, Actinopteri, Pleuronectiformes, Cynoglossidae. The transcript has 3 exons.
AGUAGGUGUCGUUGUUUCAGUGCUUAUGUUGAAAUGAUAAUUCUGGUGGUAGAGUAGAGCAGAGGACACACAGAUCAAACCACUCAUCAACGACGGUCGUCUCACUCUCACUGCUGCUGCCACUGACUGGUCCCUGCGCUGAACACAUACAUAGACACAGUCGACCAGCCGCGUUUGUUUUUUUACUCCCGGGGUUUUAACUUUAAAGCCUGGACGGGAGUCAUGCUUCUGGACGAUACAACACCGCGGACAUAAGCGAGUCAGAGGACGAAAAGUCGCGAACACUACCCCCGAGGCGCCACAAAGCAGUGGGGGUAAGGGGAAGGAAGAAGAAGGGAGGUCGGUUCUUAUUUUCUGUGUUCAACACUCCGAGAGAAAGACGGCAUCCGGUCUGAGAAGAAGCUCCGAGGUCGGGGAGCCCGUUCGGAGCAACAACGCUCAUCGUUUCUGGCCUCCCCUUCCUGAGAGCUCCAUGGAGAAGAUGAAGCGUUUCAAACGACGUUUGUCCCAGACGCUACGAGGCAGCCACACCAUUGACGAGUCACUCUCCGAACUCGCGGAGCAAAUGACCAUAGAGGAGAACGGCCUGAAGGACAGCGAGCCAAUAGUGAGGAACGGCCGGCCUCCCUCAGCCCACAGCGUCCACUCCUUCCUUCAUCAAUACACUGGC